GUGGGGAAUUUUGGACAAUGGGCGCAAGCCUGAUCCAGCAAUGCCGCGUGCAGGAAGAAGGCCUUCGGGUUGUAAACUGCUUUUGUACGGAACGAAAAGGCUCUGGUUAAUACCUGGGGCUCAUGACGGUACCGUAAGAAUAAGCACCGGCUAACUACGUGCCAGCAGCCGCGGUAAUACGUAGGGUGCAAGCGUUAAUCGGAAUUACUGGGCGUAAAGCGUGCGCAGGCGGUUUUGUAAGACAGAGGUGAAAUCCCCGGGCUCAACCUGGGAAUUGCCUUUGUGACUGCAAGGCUGGAGUGCGGCAGAGGGGGAUGGAAUUCCGCGUGUAGCAGUGAAAUGCGUAGAUAUGCGGAGGAACACCGAUGGCGAAGGCAAUCCCCUGGGCCUGCACUGACGCUCAUGCACGAAAGCGUGGGGAGCAAACAGGAUUAGAUACCCUUGUAGUCC
RNAcentral lists this ribosomal RNA (450 nucleotides) under uncultured bacterium. RNAcentral describes it as "partial 16S ribosomal RNA". It matches the Rfam family "Bacterial small subunit ribosomal RNA", at positions 354 to 796 of the family's 1533-position model. The record is from RNAcentral.